Molecule: long non-coding RNA, 1151 nt
Filed under: Nicotiana benthamiana
Lineage: Eukaryota; Viridiplantae; Streptophyta; Magnoliopsida; Solanales; Solanaceae
Description: long non-coding RNA (NBEN_LNC016734)
Source: RNAcentral
CCAGACAAAGUAUGGCUCGAUGAAUCAAGCAUAUAUUUUGGAACAAGUAAAUCAUAAGACAAACUUAUGAGAAAUCAUAAAUGCCUAGAAUGACUUAUAGAAGUAAAUUCUGCCAAGCUACCUAAAGAUUUUGUGGAAAUAGAUUUGUAAACACAACAUAAGAGUUAUUAAAUAAGACAAUUUUGAAAAGAUGGAGGUGAUUAGAAAUCAACAAACCAAAUGCAGGACCAGAGGAGGUUCCACAACACUUCAAUGCAUGAAAUAAAAAAGGUACACACAUUCACUCAAGGGUAAUGAGGAUGUUGGGGUAUGUACAGGGCAUAUAGUAAGCACAGAUGCACAUAGGUAUAGUGUGAACUUCAAAGUUAAUAAGGAAUCAAACAGGCUUAGAAUAGCUAAGUAGUUUGCACAGGAAGGUGCAUUUCAGAAAUUAGAGAAACAUAGUCAUAUUGGGGUAUACUAGAAAGGAAUUCAUGAGCAGGCUAACGCUAAUAAAGCAUAUUCAGAAGCAUGCAGUAAAGAAGACAGUGAAGUAGACUUGUUAGUUGCAGGUUGAACAACAAAACAAUAAAUAGAAGCAUAUUAGAAACAUGACAAUUUGAAGUAGUAGGAGAAGCAUAUUGUUUUGGGAUUUUAAUUGAAAUUAGAAGAUAACAGUAAAGAGAUAUUAAACACAAAGUGAAAGAGGACCCAAUAGUUAGCCUUGGAUUUCAGUCAGCUAACUUAGAACAAUAAUAAGAAACACAAAAAAGAGCAUAAAGAUUUUAGUGAGAAUGAGAGAGAGAGAGAGAGAGAGAGUGUGUGUGUGUUGAACCAAUCUGUUCGUGUGUUGUGUUAGUGAAAGAGCGGGGUAUUUAUAGUUUGAAAGUAGGCAUAAAAUAAGGCAAAAAUCAAAGUUUGGCAAUAGUUAUAGAACUAUGUACUAAUUAGAAUCAAAUCAAUGCAAGAACUCCCUUAAUUAAGGGAUAAUUAACCAACGGUACUGGGCAGAAAAUAUUUAAGGAAAGAAAUCAUGUAAGACAUUAGGUACAAAACAUAUAAUUAGGGAUAACUACGCAAGGGUUCAAUUAAGAAAACAGGUAGUGAAAAAUCAUCAAAUAGCACAGUUAACCCAGAUAAGUAAAGAAAACUAAAUAAGGUUGUAGAAUAUG